Molecule: ribosomal RNA, 734 nt
Filed under: uncultured Pseudoalteromonas sp.
Lineage: Bacteria; Pseudomonadati; Pseudomonadota; Gammaproteobacteria; Alteromonadales; Pseudoalteromonadaceae
Description: bacterial SSU rRNA
Rfam family: Bacterial small subunit ribosomal RNA
Source: RNAcentral
CCCUUAGAGUUUGAUCCUGGCUCAGAUUGAACGCUGGCGGCAGGCCUAACACAUGCAAGUCGAGCGGUAACAGAUUGAUAGCUUGCUAUCAAUGCUGACGAGCGGCGGACGGGUGAGUAAUGCCUGGGAAUAUGCCCUGAUGUGGGGGAUAACUAUUGGAAACGAUAGCUAAUACCGCAUAAUCUCUUCGGAGCAAAGAGGGGGACCUUCGGGCCUCUCGCGUCAGGAUUAGCCCAGGUGGGAUUAGCUUGUUGGUGGGGUAAUGGCUCACCAAGGCAACGAUCCCUAGCUGGUCUGAGAGGAUGAUCAGCCACACUGGAACUGAGACACGGUCCAGACUCCUACGGGAGGCAGCAGUGGGGAAUAUUGCACAAUGGGGGAAACCCUGAUGCAGCCAUGCCGCGUGUAUGAAGAAGGCCUUCGGGUUAUAAAGUACUUUCAGUUGUGAGGAAGGCAGUAAAGUUAAUAGCUUUGCUGUUUGACGUUAGCAACAGAAGAAGCACCGGCUAACUCCGUGCCAGCAGCCGCGGUAAUACGGAGGGUGCGAGCGUUAAUCGGAAUUACUGGGCGUAAAGCGCAUGCAGGUGGUCUGUUAAGCAAGAUGUGAAAGCCCGGGGCUCAACCUCGGAACAGCAUUUUGAACUGGCAGACUAGAGUACUGUAGAGGGGGGUAGAAUUUCAGGUGUAGCGGUGAAAUGCGUAGAGAUCUGAAGGAAUACCGGUGGCGAAAGCGG